CCAAUAGCGUAUAUUAAAGUUGUUGCAGUUAAAAAGCUCGUAGUUGAAUUUCGAGACCGGUCUACUGGUCGUGCUUUUGUACGUACUGGUUUAUUGGUUUCUCCUUUCUGACGAACUAUAAUGCCAUUAAUUUGGUGUUAUAGGGAAUCAGGACUGUUACUUUGAAAAAAUUAGAGUGUUUAAAGCAGGCUCACGCUUGAAUACAUUAGCAUGGAAUAACGGAAUAGGACGUUUGAUUCUAUUUUGUUGGUUUCUAGGAUCGACGUAAUGAUUAAUAGGGAUAGUUGGGGGCAUUAGUAUUCAAUUGUCAGAGGUGAAAUUCUUGGAUUUAUUGAAGACUAACUACUGCGAAAGCAUUUGCCAAGGAUGUUUUCAUUAAUCAAGAACGAAAGUUAGGGGAUCGAAGACGAUCAGAUACCGUCGUAGUCUUAACCAUAAACUAUGCCGACUAGGGAUCGGAUGAUGUUAAUUUUUUAAUGACUCAUUCGGCGCCUUACG
This 498-nucleotide ribosomal RNA is filed under the name uncultured Glomeromycotina. Its description in RNAcentral is "partial small subunit ribosomal RNA". It matches the Rfam family "Eukaryotic small subunit ribosomal RNA", at positions 591 to 1092 of the family's 1831-position model. Lineage: Eukaryota; Fungi; Glomeromycota. The record is from RNAcentral.